This is a non-coding RNA of Vicia faba (fava bean), 276 nucleotides long. Lineage: Eukaryota; Viridiplantae; Streptophyta; Magnoliopsida; Fabales; Fabaceae. The record is from the annotation of a GenBank genome assembly.
AUGGCUUCUUCUUCUUCAAUGGAAACUCCACAACCACAGCCACAUCCACAUCCUCCUCUCUACUUCGAUCAAAAAUGGAAGCUCUCAAAGAAAGAAGGAUCAACCAGAAGCCGAUCUUCAUCAGCAUCUUUCAUCAACAACACUUCAACAACACAAAGAAAGUGUGCUUUUGCCAGGAAAUGUGCCAGGCUUGUCAAAGAACAAAGAGCACGUUUCUACAUCAUGAGGCGUUGUGUUACUAUGCUUAUUUGCUGGCGUGAUUACAGCGAUUCAUAA